Molecule: non-coding RNA, 18 nt
Filed under: Arabidopsis thaliana (thale cress)
Lineage: Eukaryota; Viridiplantae; Streptophyta; Magnoliopsida; Brassicales; Brassicaceae
Also listed under: 1 other name
Source: RNAcentral
AUCUUGGUGGUAGUAGCA